CAAGCACUUUUGCAGGUCCUUCCCCAGGCUGUGGGACCAGGAUUUGGUAGCUGGUGCUGAGGAAAAAACCUUUGGUUGCAUCCUUGCCUGGGUCUGUGCCAGUGGCAGCUGUCAAUCAAUGGGGCGAAG
Molecule: small nucleolar RNA, 129 nt
Filed under: Echinops telfairi (small Madagascar hedgehog)
Lineage: Eukaryota; Metazoa; Chordata; Mammalia; Afrosoricida; Tenrecidae
Description: Small nucleolar RNA SNORA30/SNORA37 family (ENSETEG00000022739.1)
Rfam family: Small nucleolar RNA SNORA30/SNORA37 family
About the family: The members of this family belong to the H/ACA class of snoRNAs that guide the sites of modification of uridines to pseudouridines.
Source: RNAcentral